Molecule: small nuclear RNA, 117 nt
Organism: Callithrix jacchus (white-tufted-ear marmoset)
Lineage: Eukaryota; Metazoa; Chordata; Mammalia; Primates; Cebidae
Gene: U5
Rfam family: U5 spliceosomal RNA
About the family: U5 RNA is a component of both types of known spliceosome. The precise function of this molecule is unknown, though it is known that the 5' loop is required for splice site selection and p220 binding, and that both the 3' stem-loop and the Sm site are important for Sm protein binding and cap methylation.
Source: Ensembl
AUGCUCUGGUUUCUCUUCAUAACGAAUUAAUCUUUUGCCUUUUACUAAAGAUUUUCACGGAGAGAAACAAUUAUGAGUUUAUGACUGAAUUUUUUGAUGUCCUGCUUAGGCAGGGCU